Molecule: ribosomal RNA, 516 nt
Filed under: uncultured bacterium
Lineage: Bacteria
Description: bacterial SSU rRNA
Rfam family: Bacterial small subunit ribosomal RNA
Source: RNAcentral
AGAGUUUGAUCAUGGCUCAGGAUGAACGCUAGCGACAGGCUUAACACAUGCAAGUCGAGGGGCAGCACAGGUAGCAAUACUGGGUGGCGACCGGCGCACGGGUGCGUAACGCGUAUGCAACCUACCUAUAAUAGGGGGAUAGCCUUCUGAAAGGGAGAUUAAUACCGCAUAAAACAACGAGAUCGCAUGGUUUUGUUGUAAAAUAUUAAUAGAUUAUGGAUGGGCAUGCGUCUGAUUAGAUAGUUGGGAGGGUAACGGCCUACCAAGUCAACGAUCAGUAGGGGUUCUGAGAGGAAGGUCCCCCACAUUGGAACUGAGACACGGUCCAAACUCCUACGGGAGGCAGCAGUGAGGAAUAUUGGUCAAUGGGCGAGAGCCUGAACCAGCCAAGUCCGCGUGAAGGAAGAAGGUCUUAUGGAUUGUAAACUUCUUUUAUAGGGGAAUAAAGAUGAGUACGAGUACUCAAUUGCAGGUACCCUAAGAAUAAGGAUCGGCUAACUCCGUGCCAGCCGCCGC